Molecule: long non-coding RNA, 846 nt
Filed under: Zea mays
Lineage: Eukaryota; Viridiplantae; Streptophyta; Magnoliopsida; Poales; Poaceae
Description: long non-coding RNA (ZMAY_LNC000908)
Source: RNAcentral
CCAACUCAGGGAAAGGCCCAAUCGCCCCAAAAGACUAGUCCAAUGGGGGAAGGGUGGCUCUCCCUUUUAAAGUGGCUUCCUCCUCCCAAGUUAAGCGAGGUGGGAUAAUUCUGAUGCUCACACGGUCACCGUCUGACUACAAUUGGGCCAACUGGGCCAAUUGCGUCUUUGCCAACGGGUAAUAGUGGAGGAUGUCCUCAUCAUUCCCACCUUCUUAAAAUGGGCCCAAGCUCUGAUACCAGAUGAUACACUCAGCCUAGGUGGGGUUGGCCGAGGCCCAACAAUUUAGGGUUGCCCGAAGCCCAAUAGUUCAUUAAGCACACCCAACUCAGGGAAAGGCCCAAUCGCCCCAAAAGACUAGUCCAAUGAGGGAAGGGUGGCUCUCCCUUUUAAAGUGGCUUCCUCCUCCCAAGUUAAGCGAGGUGGGAUAAUUCUGGGGAUCACACGGUCACCGUUCGACUACAAUUGGGCCAAAUGGGCCAAUUGCGUCUUUGCCAACGGGAAAUAGUGGAGGAUGUCCUCAUCAUUCCACCUUCUUAAAAUGGGCCCUUGCUCUAAUACCAGAUGAUACACCUAGCCUAGGUUGGGUUGGCCGAGGCCCAACAAUUUAAGGUUGCCCGGAGCCCAACAGUUCAUUAAGCACACCCAACUCAGAAAAAGGCCCAAUCGCCCCAAAAGACUAGUCCAAUGGGGAAGGGUGGCUCUCCCUUUUAAAGUGGCUUCCUUCCCCCAAGUUAAGCGAGGUGGGAUAAUUCUGAGGCUCACACGGUCACCGUCCGACUACAAUUGGGCCAACUGGGCCAAUUGCGUCUUUGCCAACGAGUAAUAGUGGAGGAUGUCCUCAUC